AAGAAAUUAGUUAAAUCAAAUAACAUUAGAUUGUCAAACUAAAAUUAUCAAUAGAUAUUUCUUC
Molecule: transfer RNA, 64 nt
Filed under: Allacta bimaculata
Lineage: Eukaryota; Metazoa; Arthropoda; Insecta; Blattodea; Pseudophyllodromiidae
Description: tRNA-Asp
Source: RNAcentral